This is a non-coding RNA of Mycena latifolia, 93 nucleotides long. NCBI's taxonomy places the organism in Eukaryota, Fungi, Basidiomycota, Agaricomycetes, Agaricales, Mycenaceae. The record is from the annotation of a GenBank genome assembly.
GGCUUGGUGGUGGAUGGUCCACAUCUGCGUUCCAUGGGUUUCGAUCAAUGACUGUUGAUGCAGAAGGAGCCCGUUCGAUUCGGGCCCGAGCCA